This 222-nucleotide long non-coding RNA is filed under the name Elaeis guineensis (African oil palm). RNAcentral's name for it is "long non-coding RNA (EGUI_LNC069082)". Lineage: Eukaryota; Viridiplantae; Streptophyta; Magnoliopsida; Arecales; Arecaceae. The record is from RNAcentral.
UGCAUCAUCAUAUACUGAACAAGAAUGUAAAUGGAGGCUUCAUGCUGUAAUUUUGAAAAAACAUGGAUAUUUUUAGAUUACAAGAUAUGAAGGUUCUCAUACUUGUUUGCUUAUAGGAUUGAGUCAAGAUCACAAGCAUGUCAGUAGAAGGAUGAUUGGCACGCUAGUCUGAUAUUUGGUUGAGAAAGAUUCAGGUGUUAAAGUUGAAGCUAUUGUGGCAGU